Long non-coding RNA from Tympanuchus pallidicinctus (lesser prairie-chicken), 2200 nucleotides. RefSeq lists it as uncharacterized. Lineage: Eukaryota; Metazoa; Chordata; Aves; Galliformes; Phasianidae. The transcript is spliced from 2 exons. The record is from RefSeq and is a predicted model, not a curated record.
GUGCUGUAAGAGAACACAAAGAAAACCUCCUUGUACAAAACAAAGUAAAUACAGGGUUGUUCUGCAGUUUGAACACUGGGCAAAGACCAUUCUGUGCACUGUUUCAGGAGCCUGCCAGCACGUAGGAGGCAGUUCAAAGGAAAACAAAGGCAGAGCUCAGGAACAGCAUAAUAAUAGAGCUCAGCUCCAACCUGUGCCCAGGAAAGUGAAAGGCCUUUGCACAAGGUGCCUAAAUGAGGCUGCAGCAGGAACAUACUCUCCUGUUUUGGAUUCCCCUGUGCUUCAGGAAGGUGGGAUUACAGAGCAUAAACAUAAAUGUAAAUGCACCAAAGAUAUCUUUAUAAGGAAAAAAAAAAAAAAAAAAAAAAAAAAAAAGUCUUAUUCUACCUAGGAUAAGAUAUGCAAGUUAUUUAGGCUAACUAUGCUGGCUAGAAGGGACAAGGGACAACAUUAUCAGGAUGGACUGGUUUCUAGUGAGGAAAGACUGAACUGUACUCUAGGUGAACUGAUAUGGAGGAAAUAACAGAACUAUUUACAGAAACAAUGACUAACAAGAUUAGAGGAAUUCAAGAUAAGUACAUCUGGAAUUUGAGCAAGAAAUCUGGGAAGGUGAAGUAGCUUGGGAUUUCGCCAUAGCUAAAACUGCAGUGAAACCCAGGAAGAGCAUCCCCGAGAUUCAGACUGUGGAGGUAAAACUGGUGAAUAAGCAAGUGGUUUGCACUGAGCAUUUUGGCAGUGGAGUGUAUUCUGGAAGGACCUCGGCUGCUCAAAAUCUUGGGGAAAAGGAAUGUAUUGUGGUAUAUGAACUCAUGAAACCCAAGAGACAGACAAAAAGGAAAUGGUUUCCACGAAAAAGAAGAUUCCGUAAACUCGGUUACCCAAACUGCACUGAGGAAUUCAGCAAAUAAAGUUCAUGACUAUUGUCUAUUUCACCAAUUUCCAAAGGAACAAAGCACACGCUGUCACACUGCCUGCAUAUUUCUGAGUAUCUCCUACUCUGCGGAGACUUUUGAAAACUGGCCAACUGGUUCAACCAGAUUUGACACUGCCUAAGACUUUCCAGCAAUAAUUAUGUUCUAACAAGUUUUGUAAAAACAGGCAGAGGAGGAAGAGAGACCUGGUAAAAUCAGCCAAGGGAAAGGUAAGAGAUUGCUCCUUACAAGCCAUUGGAGAAUCCUGCACAAGUCACACAGGAGGAAAACGUGAUGAAUGUUGUCAGUCGUAAGAAAAGCCUCAGUUUGAAAUUGCAUCUUUUUAAAAGUGGAAGUCAGUCAACUAAGAGACACGCAGUGGAAGGAUAACCGACAUCUUUAAUUCCAGACUUCACAGCACAAUUUCUUAUUCAGAAGCAUUAGUUUCUGUUUGGCCAAGCAGUUUUUAUACAAAACCCAAAGUGCUUCUGUAAAUCUCUUAUCUUAAUAAUAAUCAAGAAAGCUAUGAGACUGAUUUGAAAUAAGUCCUGCUCACACAGUUACGUGCAUUUAAAAAAGAAUAAAGAACAUCUAUGUUGUUUCAUAGCACUACUAGGAAAUCAUUCUGUUAAAAUGCCUACCCAGAAGACAUAUAUGCUAAUGUACACUUAAAAAGGCACUUAAAAAAGUAUUUUUGAGUUAUAAGAUAACCUCAUAACCUUUGACAGGCACUCCUUAAAAAGUAUCUUAAUUUUAACCUUCCUAUUUCCCAGACCAUCUAAAAAACAGACACAUGUAUGCAGAGAUUAUGUUUAGAUUAUAAUUUAAAGCCAAGCCAACGUAGGUUGAAAGCAAACUAGAAACUUUAUAACUGCUUAGUUUUUAAAUUGAACUAGCACUUAUGUCAUAAAGUGAAAAAGGAAAAAGUACAAUCUCAUAGAUGAGUAAAUUGUUUCCCUGAGUUACUUACAAUUUCGAAUAAAUAAGGCAAUAUUUUGAAAUUCUGUCAGUAUAGAACAUAUAUGUCCUUAACAUUUCCUAGACUUAGAAUAUUAAAAAACAAACAAAAAAAAAACAAAAAAAAACAACUAACCAUCAACUAAUAAUGUCACAAAAGCAGGAGAAAAGUAUGAAGUGAAUUCAGGUUCAAAAAUUCAGUUAACUUCUUUAGUAAGGAAGGCUGAGUUGUGUGAGUGAUAAUUAUGGAAAAUAACACAAAAACGAAAGGUGGAGAUAAAAACAGAAGGUACAAUUUAGGUAUACACUAUACACAACAAAACAAAAAACAA